GCUGUAUGCAGGGUUAGGUUCAGUCUGACGGGCUGUAUGCAGGGUUAGGUUCAGUCUGACGGGCUGUAUGCAGGGUUAGGUUCAGUCUGACGGGCUGUAUGCAGGGUUAGGUUCAGUCUGACGGGCUGUAUGCAGGGUUAGGUUCAGUCUGACGGGCUGUAUGCAGGGUUAGGUUCAGUCUGACGGGCUGUAUGCAGGGUUAGGUUCAGUCUGACGGGCUGUAUGCAGGGUUAGGUUCAGUCUGACGGGCUGUAUGCAGGGUUAGGUUCAGUCUAACGGGCGGUAUACAGGGUUAGUUUCAGUCUGACAGGCUGUAUGCAGGGUUAGGUUCAGUCUGACGGGCUGUAUGCAGGGUUAGGUUCAGUCUGACAGGCUGUAUGCAGGGUUAGGUUCAGUGUGAUGGGCGGUAUGCAGGGUUAGGUUCAGUCUGACGGGCGGUAUGCAGGGUUAGGUUCAGUCUAUGCCUCAGUGUUCAGUGAACAUCACAUGGAGCGUUAUAAGCCUAGAUGCAAUUUCCAUGUUGGUUCUCUAAGCCUUCUCACUGACAAUGGCUAAUGAGAUGUUUUUAUUUGCCGGUUUCCGGUUUCAUUAAAGAAAAUCGAUGCGUUGCUGCUGAAACUGACACGACAGUCAAACGGUGGCAGAGAAACAUAAGCCGUGAACCAUUGUGCUGUAUUAAAGCUACUCCAAGUAACUGGACCCCGCUUUCCCAUUCAGGAAAAAAACUAAAUCUCAAAUGUCCGCUAAUUUCGCAAGUUAAGCAUAAUAGACGCUUUCGUUGGGAUUUCAUUUUCAAGUUGCAGUGUGAAUAAAACACAAAAUAUUUACUUACUUAACAGUAUACAGAAAUCAACAACAAAGUCAAUUGCAUGGAUACACCUAUAUAUGGAAAAAUUAAAUUUUUUAAGCACUAUUAGUAUUUGUUGUAUAUAUACACAUUACAACGCUGUGUAAUGUGCCAUUACCUAACCAAAGCUGUGUUAGAAUUAUGUGCAACUAUUCAGUAACAACAAAGGGAAAAGCAGAAGGAUCUCAGUGACUACACAAGGCUUAAGAUAGCAGGUGUCUGUGUCCAUCAAGACAAUCUCCCAGGUGUUCUUGGAACGGCAACUUCCACAGAAAACCACUGCAGGAAAGUACAACUCUGAUCCUAAGCAGAGUAACAAGCAACAAACGUGCUGCAGAGCCAAAAUAAAUCGGAGAAACGUUCAGAACUGGACAACAAAACACCUGUUUCCACUCGAACAAUGCACCAGGAGCUAGUGGUUAAAGUGGCUAAAGUUCAAGUAAAUCUGACCUAGAUUACUGAUCUGACAGUGGUUAGUUGUAAAAGCCCCAUUUUUAGCAUUUGCAUGCACA
Molecule: long non-coding RNA, 1359 nt
Organism: Polyodon spathula (Mississippi paddlefish)
Lineage: Eukaryota; Metazoa; Chordata; Actinopteri; Acipenseriformes; Polyodontidae
Exons: 3
Source: RefSeq, a predicted model, not a curated record